This is a long non-coding RNA of Sapajus apella (tufted capuchin), 5609 nucleotides long. RefSeq lists it as uncharacterized. The transcript is spliced from 2 exons. NCBI's taxonomy places the organism in Eukaryota, Metazoa, Chordata, Mammalia, Primates, Cebidae. The record is from RefSeq and is a predicted model, not a curated record.
GCAUGACCACAGACAGCCCACUGCAGCCUCAACCUCCUAGGCUCAAGUGAUCUUCCCACUUCAGCCUCCUGAAUAGCUGGGACUACAGGCAUAGGCCACACACCUGACUCACACAUUUUUCACUGUUAAUACUUCUUUGCUGAGUUAUUUUUAAAUGUUUCAGGAUUUCCAAAAAUUGAGUUUUUUUGUGUUAUCUUUUUGGUGAAGAUUUUCAAUUUAAUGAGCUGUGGUCAGAGAGUGUAAUACAAAUGAUAGAAAUUCCUAAAUGUGUUGAGACUUGAAUCAUGGCCUGUUCUCAAAGAAUAGCAUAUCAGUCUUAACUGACCUCCACUAUGUGACUUUGCAUAUUGACCAGCAUUUCCAACUUUUCUAUAAAUCUUUGGAUGCUGACAGCAUCUAGUCUGUUCUUUGAUGAGCAGACUUGGCUUUGGCUGUUCCAGCAGAGUGCUGUUGAAGUAUCAAGGUGUUUGGUAUGCUUCUAAAUGUAUGUACUUGUUAUUAUAAUUGCAUGAUUUAAUUAAAAUAUGAUUUAAGAGGUAGUACUUAAACAUGAAUAAAGAGGGAAUUCUUAUAUCUGCGAAACUUUGUUAAAUGUUUUGGAAAUAAUCUCUGCGGUUUAAUUGCUAAAAUAAAAAAGGAGCUGUAUUUACGUGUGAGUAAGAUCUGGAAUCAGUUGUAGAUUAAUUUUGUAAAUAUCUUUAAAUUCUCAUUUGCUUAAAAAUAGUUGGGUAUUGUGUACAAUGUAUUAUAUGUUGGACUUAUGUAAGAAAGGCUUAGAACUCUAUAAUAGGUCCCUAACUGCAAGUAAAGACCUCAGCUGAAAACUUUCCCCCUGUGGGAAGGUUAAAGCAAGUAACAGGAUGGAAGCUGGGAGAAAGUCAGCAUUUAGGGUGUUGGGCAUUUGUAUAGAUUGAUAGCAAUACUUGCAGACCUGUUUUACCAUGUAGUUGAAAUAGUUAUUCAAAAUGAUAACCUAGAAAAGCAGAACAGGGACACUAGAAUUAAAAACAAAAAACUCUACAGAGGAAUUACAGUUGCCAUAGUCAGCAAUGAAAUUAGAACUAACAAACUGCAGUUUUUUUUGUUGUAGGCAAAUUCAGAAAUCUUAUAACUUUAAAAAAUACAUCAUACUUUUUUAGUGUUUUAUGAGAUGGAUUCUGAAUUAUAGAAUGUCUCACCAUUAAUAUGCACAUUCAGCAUAGAAACAGUUAAAGAAAAUAAACUUACCUGAAACAAUUGUUCUUCCUGUGCAUUGUCGUCACAUCCUUUUUCUGAGGACCUGAGACAAAAUGAACUACAAGUAGGAUAAGAACUGAAAAAUUUUCACCAGAUUUAUGAAUGCAAUUUUAUCAAUAAUCUUGGUGAGUGGUAGUGGCAGAAGAGUUGACCUUACAGCUUAUAGCUAGCUGUUAGAAUAGCUAACUUAAUGAAUUUUCUCCUAAACCUGAAACUCGAAGAUAUUGACAACCAACACUAGUUCCCUGAUAAGUAACUUAGGGAUGUGCACUCUUAUUUCAAUAAUUACUGCUUCCAUAAAUUAUAUAAACAUUCAUGCAUUCAGACAAUAUGUGAAUAUUUCUGUGUGCUAGGUGAUGUGCUGGGUGUUGGGUAUGCAAAGAUGAACAGUACAAAGAAGAGCUCUGUUUUCAUUCAGUUGAGGAUAGAGUUUUUCAAUAACAAUUAUUUUUUAAAAUGAAAAUGAAGAUCCACAGAUUUCCAGGAAAAAAAAAAGAAAAUGACCUAAAAGACAUAGCUUUACCAUUGAAUAGAAUAUCCUUCCUCUAAUGCAUGAAUCAGAGUAUGUAAAGAGAAGAUGUAAAAAAGAGCUUUGAGUUUUAAUUUGGGAAAAGAAGUAUAAGACAGUAGUAGCAGCCAUAUAAAAUAGAAUAAUAUCAAACAUUUAAAAAAUGGUAUAGUGAAGCAUAGAGCAAAAUUUACAUUUAAGCAUUUACUAAACUUUGGUAAAAACUAUGAUUUAAAAAUAUCCUUAACUGUAAGGAGGUAGUAUAAAACAUAGUUUGUUGCAAUUGUAUAUUUAUUUUUACUUUUAAGUAUCAGACAAAUUGAUUCAUUUUUUAAAUUCGAAACUAAUAUAUGUCAGACAUGGUUACAGUUAAAAAAUUAUUUUUUGAAAAUGAAAUUGUGGAUGCAGAAGGCAAACAAGCUGUAGCAGAAAAGGAUGGAUUUAAUAUGAAGAGGAGGAGGAGAUAAGAGCAAUCCAGAGGCAAAUAUUACUCAUGCCAUUGGUAGUUAUACAUGCUCUAGAAAUAGUUCUAUGUUGUAUUGAAUAUCAGCUUGAAUCAGGAUUUGGUAUUACUACAACAUGGGAAGAAGCAAAGCCAAGAAAAAUUAUAUUUAUUCUUAUAACUCCCAAGAGAUACAGGAGCUAGAAAGAAAUUAUUUAGGCAGUUAGUGAGGGUAGGAGAGUCUUUAGCAAGGUUUCCUUUUUAAUGAAAAGCAGCCCCCAAAACAUUUCUUUUAACAAAGGACAGCCUGAAAAAUUGAGCUGCAGACAUAGAUAAGCAAGCUGGAAGCUUGCACAGGUAAAUGCUGGCAGUUGUACCAAUAGAAAAGGGCUACUUGGAAGCUGGUGUGUUCAACAUGGAGGCUCACCUUACCUUUUCUUUGUCACCACAUGUGCGAUAAAGAGGCAGGCAACAUGGCGUUGGCCAGGUAGUGAACCCAUCUGUCUAAUAAAAGAUUAAGAUGGGGCGGCCAGGUUCUUCCGAGGCUAUGUAAGUGGCACACCUGGUCUGACCGGUCUCUCCAGCCCUAUGGAGACACGGCCUCCUAAAAAACCAACCACAUUUUGCCACCAACGCUUCCUCUGCACAAGGAGGGGAGCUUUUCUCUUUCUUUCACCUAUUAAACUAACACUCUUAAGCUCACUCCUUGUGUGUCCUUGUCUUGACUUCUUUGGCAGGAGACGACUAACCUGGAACAUUUACCUCAAACAACGCCGCUACUUCCAAAGUACUUACUUUAUUAAAUGAAUAUGGUUUGUUUUGAGUUAAAAUGUUUAAGGUAUGCAUAUAUUUUUUCUAACUUCUCACCUUAACUGAUUUUUUUAUUAAAUGAAGAAAUGGUCUCAAUCACAUUGGCUAACAUGGCCUCUACUUAUUUUAAUUCAUCUGGUUUUCCCACUUUAGGGGAUUAACAGUAUGGAGUACUUGCGAAACUGCUUGUAUUUGUAAAGAGUAAAAUGCAGUUUAAAUAACAAAGAAGUUAGUUUGUAGUUCAGAAACUGUGGCCUGGUUCAGAGUGUGAGUUUGAAAUUUUGUCUUUAAGAUUUUGUUUUUAUUUACCACCACCUUUUAUGCUUAAGUUUAUGAUUGGUCAUAAUUAUCCCGUUGACAUAUUCUGUUAUGUGAAAAUCUGUGUAGGAAACCUCUCUAUUAAUUAAACCUGAUGUUUAAUUAUAAUAUUAAGAGUCACAAAGUACUGUAGAUUCUCUUCGUCAUAGUUAUUUUUAGACUUUAGGGAAGUCUAGUUUUUAGAAUUGACAGUGUUUUUUAUUUUUAGCUGUGUGUUGAAUAACCUAUGAUAUAUCAUUCACUUAUUAACUUCACAUUUUUGUAUAAUAAUAAGUUUUAGAUCAGAUAAAGUAAAACUGGCAUUAAUUUGGGAAGGAGAAAUUGCAGAACUUAGUGAUUUUUUGAAAUAAUGUGUCAACUAUAACUUGAAGGUGUUAUUUUUAUCCCCAAGGAUGUUUUGAAAUAUACUGAUUUGAAUUUCUUAUGAUAGACUUUAUUUUAACCAUAAAACUAUUUUGAUAUGUUUUAUAAUGCUGUGAUACUGUAUGCAUGGUGAGGACAUGGGUUGUUUGUUCUUACCACCAUAUUCCCAGCACUAGUGUGGAAUGAAUGAAUAAGAAACAAGGGAGUAAAAUGCAUAAUCCUGACUAUAUAUGUCUUCAAAAUCAAGUUAUUUUGAAGGAAAAAACUAUGUAUCCAACAAAUUGAAACAGAUACUUAACAAAAUUAAGACUAUUUUAAAUGCGUGUUGUACUCUUUGGCAUUAUUUUUCACAUCCAAAAAUCUCUUGGAGCCUCUUCUCUGAGUAGCUUCUGUGAAUCUGAUGAUGCUAGGAUUUUAUUUUUUCUUAUAUUUUAAAAUUCUUCUGAUUACAUCAUCUCUUUAGACAUCGUUCUUGACAGAUGGCAUUUAUUAAAUAUGGACAGUAGCAGGCAGUUAAAAAGACCUGCCUUAGAUAGGCAGGAACCUUUCUUUUUUCUUUCUGAUUCUCAAAGCAAACCAGUGUAAGCUUUAUUUAACUUCUAGAUUAAUUUAAAAAGAAAUCUCUUUAAAUUAUGAUUCAACAGGUAUAGGGUGAAGUCGGGGAAAUGCAUGUUUUUAAAGCUUCCCAAGUGAUUUUGAUCAUCAGUCAAGUUUAGAAACCCCUGAUUGCAAUUAAUUUCCUUAGGAUAUACUCAUAUAUUUAAUUCCAAACAGGAAAAAAAAUUGAAAUUUAAAAAAAUAAAAAGUAUUUUUAGAGAUGACAUAACUUUGCUUUUAUUUUGUUUAAAAAAACUUUAAGUUUUUUUUUUUUUUUUUUUUCCCUGCGUUUUUAUUAAUUAUCAAGUUCUAGUGAAGGCUUAGAAACCUAAAAACACCUUUGGGAUGGAUUCAGAAGAUCCAAAAGAUACGAUGAUCAAAUAUGAUCAGCAAGCUUUAGGAGAGGAUCACAAAUACGUGAUUUUGAAGUCUCUUCUGUUUAAAACCAAUCCAAAGUCUUGAAUUUAAUCCAGUAUAUAGUAUGCUACAAAUGGAAAGAUUAAACUGGAGCAAUAUAAUUAGGGUAAGCCAUUGCAUCUGCACUUGUAUUGCAGCAACUGAAUUUGAAACCAGCUGCAAAAUGGUGACUAAUCUGUCUGGCAAGCCCCACAUGAGAGUGUAGUACAAUAAACCAGCUUCAGCCUCAUGAGCACGUGUUUCUUCAACUUGCCUCUGAGCAGGUGAUGGUGAUGAUGCAAUCUGAUUAUACUUUUGACUGUAUUCUAACCAUAGUCGACAGUAGAGACUCACAAGGGAUUUCACAAAAGACUUAAAACUAUGUAUUUUUUCAGAUAAGUUGAACUAUAGACAGCCAUAGAAAUUAGUAAUUUUUUUCACCUUAGUGACUGUCGUACUUUGCAGUACUUUAUAAUCUUAAGUUUAGGAGGCUUUAGUUUUCAUGUGCGAACAGAAGAUGAGAAAAAUAAUGUGGAAAGAAAGUACUUGUACUUGGAGCUCUUAUUCUGAAUUGUUUACAACUACUUACGCUGAUCAAUUAAAAUAAUUAAAUUGUCCAGACUAUUUAAUUCUGUACAAACAAGAGAUGAUAAAUCAGUGUACUGUGUUUAAAUGGUACACUAACCUUUCCACAUUCAGGGAUGUACCUCCCUAGCUAUAACCUACCCUGAUGAGGUGAUAUUUAAGUGUCUUGAACAUUAAAGGUGUUUAAUAAAUACUCAGUUUGACUUGGACUUGAGCCUUUAUUUUCGAAGGGAAUAUGUUUCUUCUUCCAUUGUACCUCAGAGGGACUUGGUAAGCAUGAAUAAAGCCAUCUGUUUGAAAAUAUAUGUGUUACAGAAAAAAAAAAAAGUGCUACAGGACCUAAAAUGUAUUAUU